This 411-nucleotide ribosomal RNA is filed under the name uncultured bacterium. Its description in RNAcentral is "bacterial SSU rRNA". It matches the Rfam family "Bacterial small subunit ribosomal RNA", at positions 370 to 772 of the family's 1533-position model. The record is from RNAcentral.
AAUGGGGGAAACCCUGACGCAGCAACGCCGCGUGGGUGAUGAAGGCCUUCGGGUCGUAAAGCCCUGUCGGGAGGGAAGAAAUGAUUAAGGGUUAAUACCCCUUGAUCUUGACGGUACCUCCGAAGGAAGCACCGGCUAACUCCGUGCCAGCAGCCGCGGUAAUACGGAGGGUGCAAGCGUUGUUCGGAAUUAUUGGGCGUAAAGCGCGUGUAGGCGGUUUCUUAAGUCUGAUGUGAAAGCCCCGGGCUCAACCUGGGAGGUGCAUUGGAAACUGGGGGACUUGAGUACGGGAGAGGAGAGUGGAAUUCCUAGUGUAGGAGUGAAAUCCGUAGAUAUUAGGAGGAACACCGGUGGCGAAGGCGGCUCUCUGGACCGAUACUGACGCUGAGACGCGAAAGCGUGGGUAGCAAA